AUGUCUUCUCCUGGGAGGGGGAAGAGUAAUCAAGGAACAUCAGACAAGACAUCGCCUAUGUGCAGACCCUCCCAGAUGUAUCUCUCCUCGCUUCACCUUUCUGAGCCUCAGUUUCUCCAGUUACAAAAUGAGGAUAAUGCCAACAACUCACAGGGUUGCUGUGAAGCGGCCCCUGUUUUUCCACCUGUAAGGUGCCUUCUCCAGGUGUUUUCCGGAGUUGCAAGGGGAAUGGAGCUUGGUGCUGGCACUCCACCGGGGUGCUGCUGCGGUUCCCUGGAAUUAAGAUCUGACCUUGCCCUUGAAGUGUUCCCAGCCAGAAACAAGCUGUCAGCUGCCUCUUCUGUCUGCUGCAAGUCUCCUGCCUCUGACAGUUUCUAACUGCCUCCUGAAUUGUGGUUUCUAAUCUCUUGUGGACUUUGAAAAUAAAAAGGAAUGCUUGUUAAAAUUGUUUGUAGAGUAAGAGUCAAUGGGCUGUAAGUGAGCGACUGCCUUAUGGGUAGAGUGUGAGUUUAGGGCCGAUAGUGUGGCUGCCCAGAGGUCUCGUCUGCUUAUUCCUGGCGGUUCUCCAGACAUUUGUUCUCGGGUUGAAGGGUAAGGGAGGUGUUGUUCUAAAUACAUAAGAGGCUUAUUAAUGGCCAGGCAUGCACAGACUAAUUGCUUCCUGCUGUUUACACAUAAUCAAUCACGUCCACAGUUUGGAACCACUAAGCAAGCGGCAGAGUGGAGUGGAAAGAUGACUGGAUGGGGAGGGGCCUCAGAGGCCUGGGCUGCUCCAUCCUUCACGUUCAAGUCUGUCCUGUCCUAACAAACCAGAACGAAAGCCUCCCUCGCUCCCCUGCUUCUCCCUCUCUCCUCCUUUUCCAGCAAACUGCUGUUCUCACGGCCUCCCCAUUUCCUUCGCUUCCAGUCUCCCCUCCACUCUGCUCAUCUCCCAGUCCCUGCACAGCCCAAGAUCACCUCUGUCACUGUCCCUGCUCAGCCCAUUGUCACCUCCACAGCCCUUCAAACACCACGUGCCCCUACCUUAGAUGACGCCCUGGGCUUCUCCCAGCUCCACGGGCUGCCCAGUUGUACAAGUCAGGAAACUGCGCUUUGUCCCUGUGCCUCCUUCUCCACCAGCCAUGUGGCCAGGAUAGCCCAAGUCCUGUUGCUGAUAUCACCUGGACAUGUCUGGAGUGUGUCCAUGCUUCCAGCCUGAUCUCCAUCUCCACUGCCAUCAGCCUGCUCUGAGCCCCCUCACCUCUCACGGGGACAGCUACAGUGGCCAAAUCCCUGGUGGCCGCAUCCCUGGCCUCUGUGCACACCCUCUGGCCCCUUCCAGCUGCUCGCCACACUGCAGCCAGGAAGCCAUACAGUCCACAAGGUCAUGGUCAACCCUGCCCCUGCCCUCCCCUCCUCUGACCUGAUUAGAGCUUUUCCAGAGCUUUCCAUCGUUCUCUCUGGAUAAAGACCCAAAUCUUCAUCACACCUGCACGUGCAGGGAGGGAGGGGCGGGGUCUGGGGUCUGGCCCCUACCACCUCUCCAGUCCCUGCCUCCCCCUCCCCAAGCUUUCUGGAAGGCACUGUGCCCCUCCUCACACAUGGCCUUUGUCUCUGCUGCUCCCUCCUUCAGCCUCUCCUCCCCACCACCCCUCGCUCCUCCUUCAGCUUGGUUCAGGCCACCGGUCCUCAGGAAAACCACCUAUCCACCCGCCCCCGCCCCCCCUCCACCCCCCGGCCCAAGUCAGCUCUGUCCCAGAGCCUUUUCCGUCUCAGUGGCACUCUUGUCUGGGGCUGGAAUCCUACCUGGAUUCUUUGGUGGUUCCUUGAUUCUCACCACCCUCCUGGGGAGCAGGGGCCCCUUCUGCUCUCACUGGACACCAGCGUGUCAGUGCCCGGCCGGCAGGUUGCCCUCCACAAGGGAGGCUCUGGCUCCUCCUUGAGGCCUGGCCCAGUCCUGGAACUGAGGCUGGAUUGUCUUUGCCACUGCCUGCCUGUGUGACUUUAGGCAAAUCACAUUACCCCUCUGGGGUGCUGCUCAGCGUGG
This 2026-nucleotide long non-coding RNA is filed under the name Papio anubis (olive baboon). Its description in RNAcentral is "lncRNA (ENSPANG00000045644.1)". Lineage: Eukaryota; Metazoa; Chordata; Mammalia; Primates; Cercopithecidae. The record is from RNAcentral.